RNAcentral lists this unclassified non-coding RNA (207 nucleotides) under Glomeraceae sp. RNAcentral describes it as "partial contains 5.8S ribosomal RNA and internal transcribed spacer 2". The stretch from base 1 to 65 matches the Rfam family "5.8S ribosomal RNA", at positions 84 to 154 of the family's 154-position model. The record is from RNAcentral. Lineage: Eukaryota; Fungi; Glomeromycota; Glomeromycetes; Glomerales; Glomeraceae.
GUGAAUCAUCAAAUCUUUGAACGCAAAUUGCACUCUCUUCUGAGAGGAUGCCUGUUUGAGGGUCAGUAUCAAUAAAAAUCGGUCCGUUGCUUCUUUGUGACGGUCCUGAGGUUGGGGUAUCUUAAUAUCUUUUAGGUUUUAAGUGGCUUAAAAUUGACUUUUUUUGCGCAUUUUAGUUUUACUUAUAUUUUUUUUUUUAUUCGUCGU